RNAcentral lists this small nuclear RNA (144 nucleotides) under Haliotis rubra (blacklip abalone). RNAcentral's name for it is "uncharacterized LOC124266945". It matches the Rfam family "U4 spliceosomal RNA". From Rfam's summary of the family: U4 small nuclear RNA (U4 snRNA) is a component of the major U2-dependent spliceosome. The structure of U4 snRNA from yeast and human has been reported. U4 snRNA presents a k-turn RNA motif in the 5p-SL related to recognition of Snu13 protein. Lineage: Eukaryota; Metazoa; Mollusca; Gastropoda; Lepetellida; Haliotidae. The record is from RNAcentral.
UUAGCUUUGCGCAGUGGCGGUACCAUAGCCAAUGAGGUUCAUCCGAGGCGUGGUUAUUGCUAGUUGAAAACUAAUCCCAAUACCCCGCGCUGACGCCCUUCACUGGGCGGCAUGCGCAAUUUUUGCUAGCUCCUACGGGAGCCU